This 454-nucleotide ribosomal RNA is filed under the name uncultured bacterium. RNAcentral describes it as "bacterial SSU rRNA". It matches the Rfam family "Bacterial small subunit ribosomal RNA", at positions 340 to 787 of the family's 1533-position model. The record is from RNAcentral.
UACGGAAGGCAGCAGUGGGGAAUAUUGCACAAUGGGCGCAAGCCUGAUGCAGCCAUGCCGCGUGUAUGAAGAAGGCCUUCGGGUUGUAAAGUACUUUCAGCGGGGAGGAAGGCGAUGUGGUUAAUAACCGCAUCGAUUGACGUUACCCGCAGAAGAAGCACCGGCUAACUCCGUGCCAGCAGCCGCGGUAAUACGGAGGGUGCAAGCGUUAAUCGGAAUUACUGGGCGUAAAGCGCACGCAGGCGGUCUGUCAAGUCGGAUGUGAAAUCCCCGGGCUUAACCUGGGAACUGCAUUCGAACUGGCAGGCUAGAGUCUUGUAGAGGGGGUAGAAUUCCAGGUGUAGCGGUGAAAUGCGUAGAGAUCUGGAGGAAUACCGGUGGCGAAGGCGGCCCCUGGACAAAGACUGACGCUCAGGUGCGAAAGCGUGGGGAGCAAACGAGGAUUAGGAUAACC